GAACCAUUGAUUUAAGUAGUUAGGCAGGUAAAAGGCACUAUGUAGUCAUUUCACCCAUGGACAACCCUGAGACUAAUCCCAAAGACAAUCAAGGAAUCAAUGAACAGCACACAAAAUGCACAGAGGUGAGCACUCAAGAAAGUGGGCAAGCUUUAGCAUAGAGAUCAAGUCAUGCAAUGCUUCACUGGAGUUUUUGUUUAGGAGAUAUAGGCAGAACAAAGGUAGGGCUUUAAGUAUGGUAGGGAUGAGGGCGCCUCCCCACACAACCCAGGAAAACCUUAGCAUGUCCGCAUCAAAGAGCUGCAGUGCGAUAUAUUCAAUGACAUCAGUGAGGAGACCUUGGAAAGGGCUUACAUUCUGUGGACCAGUGAAUGCAAGACGACUUCAGCAGAAGCUGAGGGAAGCAAUAUUCUCCUGCAAAGCCAUAAGGAAUGAUGUACAUAUUCAUGGACAAUUUUGGAUCAGCAACCUCUAGGGAGUGUUCAAGUGCAUGUUUACAUGAAAGGUGGCAAUGUACAUUUACUACUUUCCCACAUGAUUCCAGAAGGGAAGACUGUUAGCCACCAUUAUCACCACCUCCAUCUCUUCCCCUUCUCCAAGAUGAUCCUUGAGGCUAAUCUUUACAUUGUCUUUGCAAGAUCUGUACCGCCUUUGUGAUCAGGUGGGAUGGAUUGUGUGUGGCAGGAAAGGGAAGGCCUUGGCAACCAUGACAUCUUCCUGCUCCAGGUAGCCUUCUUGAUUCAGAUAUAAUGGCCCAAAUCCUUUUGCUCACAUAUGCCUGCAUAAACCAAACUGUAAGUUGCUGCAGUGACUUUCUGCUUAUUGUCCACAUUGUCAUGUGACAGGCGUGUGAAAAGGAAUACAAGCACCAACAUUUUAACUAGUACCAAUUUACUCUUUUAGUUUAUACUGUACAGUGGGGUCUUGACUUAAGAACGGCUUGAGUUAAGAACAUUUUGACUUAAGAACCACUCUCAUAGGAAAAUAUUGACUUGACUUAAGUACUUAGAUUUGAGUUAAGAACUGAAAAAAACCACAUGGUAGGCAGGGAAAGUGCAAAAUUUGAACUUUCAGUUAACUGUUGGCCAGUGAAAGGGGUGCCUGUCUGUUUCCUCACUCCUCUCAGCGUUUAGAGAGUGGAUUGGGAGACAGUCUUCAGGCUGCCUGGUACUGUACUGCCUGGACUGUAUUUUCCCUGCCUUCCCUGAACCUUUCUUGACCUAAGAAAAAAAAAGAAACAAAAUAUACCCCUCUAGUGGUCGAAGGCAGAAUAGCAGCUUCCCAUUAGUUUCGAUGGACGGAAAAGAGCAGAUACGGAUCAAAUGGUUUUCCAUGCAUUCCUAUGGGAAAUGCAGAUUUGACCUGAGAACUUUUUGACUUGAGAACCACCUUCCAAUACGGAUUAAGUUCUCAAGUCAAGACCCCACUGUAUACUGAUGAUGCAAAGGCUUCUUAGUAGAGAAAUCUUUAACACAUGUGUGGAUUUAUUGACUGCACUUCUUGACCCGUCUGUGAGAAAAGACAAUAAAGAUACUAUUACCAAUUU
This 1546-nucleotide long non-coding RNA is filed under the name Pogona vitticeps (central bearded dragon). RNAcentral's name for it is "lncRNA (ENSPVIG00000015221.1)". Lineage: Eukaryota; Metazoa; Chordata; Lepidosauria; Squamata; Agamidae. The record is from RNAcentral.